GAUCCGCGUGCUCGAAUGACAAGGUAACGGCGACGGCAGCUGCCGCACCACCCCCACCGGAGGAGGAGGAGCCGUCGACAGCCGCGGUGGCAGCUUCAGCGACCCCGCCGGCGGCGCGAGGUGCUUAAGCGCCACGUGCCGCUUCUCGCGCGCCGUCGAGUAGAGGAAGAGCUUGGCGGUGUGCAUCAAGUCGGGCUGCUCGUCGAGGCGGUGCCGGCGGAGGUGGAACAGAGCCAGGCGCUUGACGUCGCAGACGUCGUCCUUGCACAACGGCGGCGGCGGCGGCGGCACCGCUCCCCCCUCGGCCCGAUACAGGCAGCAGCUACUCCAGCUGCAGCAGAAGGCGACGAGCUUCGACGCGAGGCGGACGGUGGCGUGGCACCGCACGCGGUACCCGCGGUCGGUGAGGUCCUACGGCGGGUCGCGCCGCGCGGUGAGCGGCCGCUCGGGGCGCAGGCGGAGCCGGUGGCGCGGCGCGUCGGCGCGGGCCUCGACGCGCGCGUGCGAGCGGCAGUCGUACGGCAUGUCGAGCAGGGCGAGCAGGCCGGGGUGGUCGGCGACGCCGCUGGCGCGGUAGGCGAGCUAGCUCUAGUGGUCGGGCCGCAUGGCGCCGCGGUCACGGCGGCGCGGGUCGCAGGGGCGGCCGCCGUGGUCGCAGCGGCACGACAUGAGCUUCUUCGGCGCGGCAGACGACGGGAAGCGCGAGACCUGCUGCCGUCGCUGCAGCUUGCCGUGGCGGAGGUAGCUGUACCUGAACGCGCUGCCGCCGCCGCCCCUGACGCGCAGCCGCCUGCCCACCUGCCGGCUCCUCUCGCACUCCGAGGCCAUCUCUCCGCGCACGGCGACUAGGACCGGCGGCCGCGGCUUCUGCUCGAACUACGCGCGCUCCUACCACUUCCGGCGCGCGCGGUCGCUGCUCUGCUGCCGCAGCUUCCACGUGGGGGUGUCUCUGCAGACGAACUCCAAGAAGUGCAGGACGAAGAACCUCUUCUACUCGACGACGACGAGGCUGCGGUGGCUCUAGAACGAGCGGCUGUACGACGCCGCCACCGUGGGAGGAGGCGGCGAACGUCGUCGCAGCCGGGCGUCCUUGAAGGCCUCCGGCACGAGCCGGAGGCGCUCGAGGAGGUACCGGGACGCCUCGCGCCGCCACCACCGGUGGACGAAGAGGUUGAAGGAGCGCGCGCGCAGGUAGAGGAAGGUGCACCCGCGCCGGGUCGCCACGGCCAGCGCCGGCCGCAGCCGCUUGAGGUCGUCGCGUAGGGACUUGAGGGCGUUCGUCCCCAGCCGCGUCGCGAGGCGGUCGCGCCGCUGCCGCAGCCUGCGCGGGGCGUCGCGCAGCUGCUCGAGCCGCGCGCGCUCCGGCUCGUCCUUCCGCAGCAGCAGCCUCUGCUGGAACGCCUGCGGCAGCUCCACCUGCUGGAGCACCGCCUCGGCGCGGUGGCGGCGCAGUGGCUGCCGCGCGGUGUGCACCUCGUCGGACCUGUGCUCCGACCGGUGGAGCUUCCGGUCCUACGGCUGCAACGGGAAGAACGGUGGCCGCGGCCGGCCGCCGCGGGGGCUGCUCCUGCCGAAGCUGCUCUACCGGCUGGCCUGGAACCGGUCGGUACUGAGCGCGCGGUACCCGUAGCCACCUAGCUAGACAGACAGUUACCGUGCGUGGUCGUUCCUUCUCUCGUUCUCGAUC
Molecule: ribosomal RNA, 1687 nt
Filed under: Triticum aestivum (bread wheat)
Lineage: Eukaryota; Viridiplantae; Streptophyta; Magnoliopsida; Poales; Poaceae
Description: partial small subunit ribosomal RNA
Source: RNAcentral